CCUACGGGAGGCAGCAGUGAGGAAUAUUGGUCAAUGGGCGAGAGCCUGAACCAGCCAAGUCGCGUGAGGGAAGACGGUCCUAUGGAUUGUAAACCUCUUUUGUCGGGGAGCAAAAAGGCCUCGUGAGGCCACAAGUGAGAGUACCCGAAGAAAAAGCAUCGGCUAACUCCGUGCCAGCAGCCGCGGUAAUACGGAGGUGGCAAGCGUUAUCCGGAUUUACUGGGUGUAAAGGGCGUGUAGGCGGGACUGCAAGUCAGAUGUGAAAACCACGGGCUCAACCUGUGGCCUGCAUUUGAAACUGUAGUUCUUGAGUACUGGAGAGGCAGACGGAAUUCCUAGUGUAGCGGUGAAAUGCGUAGAUAUUAGGAGGAACACCAGUGGCGAAGGCGGUCUGCUGGACAGCAACUGACGCUGAGGCGCGAAAGCGUGGGGAGCAAACAGGAUUAGAUACCCUAGUAGUC
RNAcentral lists this ribosomal RNA (461 nucleotides) under uncultured bacterium. RNAcentral's name for it is "partial 16S ribosomal RNA". It matches the Rfam family "Bacterial small subunit ribosomal RNA", at positions 338 to 795 of the family's 1533-position model. The record is from RNAcentral.